CCCGCCCACUUUUUAAACCUUUCCAUAAAAAAAAUCAAACAGAUAAGCCAAAAUCGUCAAUCAUUGGCAAUCAUAAUUGUAACCAAGUAGUCUCAGUAAAAGAAAUAAAUGACAUCUGCUCCCAAGAUUAUUGCGAAUGAAGAGUAUUUCUUGAAGACCUUGUAUUGUAGGAUCAUUCAGUGGACUAGGACGUUAACUCAACAAGAUAAAUUUGAGUUUAAAGAAUACAAAGAGGUGAAAGAUACCAAAGAGACUUAAUUAUUGUCACAAUAUUAUUGUAGCAUUUCAUCACACUUUUAAACAUGGUACCGUGACCUAUACAUUCAGCUAACUACAAAUGUAUGUUAAGCGAUGGAUUGUUUAAAAUUAGUAAACCAGAAAAUUGUCUAUUUUUCUUUUAAAGAGUACGUUUUAUCACAACUAAGUUUGAAUUAUAAAGUCCAUAGUUGAAGACCUUAUCUUUUCCAGCACAUUAGUUCACAUCCACCUUAUGUUGGCUUUGAUCAAUAUGAUCUAAUACAUGUUUUAUGAAAGAAUGCUGAAAGAU
This 547-nucleotide long non-coding RNA is filed under the name Mytilus galloprovincialis (Mediterranean mussel). Lineage: Eukaryota; Metazoa; Mollusca; Bivalvia; Mytilida; Mytilidae. The record is from RNAcentral.